This is a long non-coding RNA of Amblyraja radiata (thorny skate), 213 nucleotides long. RefSeq lists it as uncharacterized. The record is from RefSeq and is a predicted model, not a curated record. NCBI's taxonomy places the organism in Eukaryota, Metazoa, Chordata, Chondrichthyes, Rajiformes, Rajidae. The transcript has 3 exons.
CAUCUUGAAUGUUAGUUGGCGCUAGCAUUGGCUGCCUCUCCAGCAGUCUGUCACGUCCAUUCUCUGUUUUUAUUAUUUUAAGUAUGUUUUAAAUGUGUGUUUCAAUGUUUCUAGGUUAGAUUAUGUGGGGGGAGGGAGGGGGAAUAGGGGAAACUUUUUUUCAGUCACUUACCUCGACGGAGAUGCAACAUUCUCAGUGUCUCAUCUCUGCCA